RNAcentral lists this ribosomal RNA (429 nucleotides) under Bacteroidota bacterium. RNAcentral describes it as "Bacteroidetes bacterium partial 16S ribosomal RNA". It matches the Rfam family "Bacterial small subunit ribosomal RNA", at positions 355 to 776 of the family's 1533-position model. Lineage: Bacteria; Pseudomonadati; Bacteroidota. The record is from RNAcentral.
UAGGGAAUCUUCCGCAAUGGACGCAAGUCUGACGGAGCAACGCCGCGUGAGUGAAGAAGGAUUUCGGUUCGUAAAACUCUGUUGUUAGAGAAGAACAGCGCAUAGAGUAACUGUUAUGCGUGUGACGGUAUCUAACCAGAAAGCCACGGCUAACUACGUGCCAGCAGCCGCGGUACUACGUAGGUGGCAAGCGUUGUCCGGAUUUAUUGGGCGUAAAGCGAGCGCAGGCGGUCAAUUAAGUCUGAUGUGAAAGCCCCCGGCUCAACCGGGGAGGGUCAUUGGAAACUGGUUGACUUGAGUGCAGAAGAGGAGAGUGGAAUUCCAUGUGUAGCGGUGAAAUGCGUAGAUAUAUGGAGGAACACCAGUGGCGAAGGCGACUCUCUGGUCUGUAACUGACGCUGAGGCUCGAAAGCGUGGGUAGCAAACAGG